AGCGAACGCUGGCGGCAGGCCUAAUACAUGCAAGUCGAACGGUUCCUUCGGGAACAGUGGCGGACGGGUGAGUAACACGUGGGAACGUGCCCUUUGGUACGGAACAACUGAGGGAAACUUCAGCUAAUACCGUAUGUGCCCUUCGGGGGAAAGAUUUAUCGCCAUUGGAGCGGCCCGCGUUGGAUUAGGUAGUUGGUGAGGUAAAGGCUCACCAAGCCUACGAUCCAUAGCUGGUCUGAGAGGAUGAUCAGCCACACUGGGACUGAGACACGGCCCAGACUCCUACGGGAGGCAGCAGUAGGGAAUCUUGCGCAAUGGGCGAAAGCCUGACGCAGCCAUGCCGCGUGAAUGAUGAAGGUCUUAGGAUUGUAAAAUUCUUUCACCGGGGACGAUAAUGACGGUACCCGGAGAAGAAGCCCGGCUAACUUCGUGCCAGCAGCCGCGGUAAAACGUAGACGUG
RNAcentral lists this ribosomal RNA (460 nucleotides) under uncultured bacterium. RNAcentral describes it as "bacterial SSU rRNA". It matches the Rfam family "Bacterial small subunit ribosomal RNA", at positions 29 to 534 of the family's 1533-position model. The record is from RNAcentral.